GUUUACUUCUUUGACCAGAUAACACACUAGUGGCGGACGGGUGAGUAACGCGUGGAUAACCUGCCUUAUACAGGGGGAUAACAGGGAGAAAUUCUUGCUAAUACCCCAUAGGUAUGUCUGACGCAUGUUGGACAUAUUAAAGCUUUGGCGGUAUAAGAUGGGUCCGCGUCUGAUUAGCUAGUUGGUGGGGUAAAGGCCCACCAAGGCGACGAUCAGUAGCCGGCUUGAGAGAGUGGACGGCCACAUUGGGACUGAGACACGGCCCAAACUCCUACGGGAGGCAGCAGUGGGGAAUACUGCACAAUGGGGGAAACCCUGAUGCAGCGACGCCGCGUGAAGGAAGAAGGUCUUCGGAUCGUAAACUUCUAUCAGCAGGGAAGAAGGAAGUGACAGUACCUGAGUAAGAAGCCCCGGCUAACUACGUGCCAGCAGCCGCGGUAAUACGUAGGGGGCGAGCGUUAUCCGGAAUUACUGGGUGUAAAGGGUGCGUAGGCGGUAUGGCAAGUCAGUUGUGAAACCCCCUGGCUCAACCAGGGGCUUGCAAUUGAAACUGUCAUACUAGAGUGCAGGAGAGGAAAGCGGAAUUCCUAGUGUAGCGGUGAAAUGCGUAGAUAUUAGGAAGAACACCAGUGGCGAAGGCGGCUUUCUGGACUGUAACAGACGCUGAGGCACGAAAGCGUGGGGAGCGAACAGGAUUAGAUACCCUGGUAGUCCACGCCGUAAACGAUGAGUGCUAGGUGUUGGGGUCUAAUUAGAUCUCGGUGCUGAAGUUAACGCAUUAAGCACUCCACCUGGGGAGUACGAUCGCAAGAUUGAAACUCAAAUGAAUUGACGG
RNAcentral lists this ribosomal RNA (835 nucleotides) under uncultured bacterium. Its description in RNAcentral is "bacterial SSU rRNA". It matches the Rfam family "Bacterial small subunit ribosomal RNA", at positions 69 to 916 of the family's 1533-position model. The record is from RNAcentral.